UCGGAGCGAAGGCGUUCCGCUCCAACCCCUGUGACAUACCUAUACGUUGCCUCGGCGGAUCAGCCCGGAAACGAAAAAAGGGACGGCCCGCCCGAGGACCCCUAAACUCUGUUUUUAGUGGAACUUCUGAGUAAAACAAACAAAUAAAUCAAAACUUUCAACAACGGAUCUCUUGGUUCUGGCAUCGAUGAAGAACGCAGCAAAAUGCGAUAAGUAAUGUGAAUUGCAGAAUUCAGUGAAUCAUCGAAUCUUUGAACGCACAUUGCGCCCGCCAGUAUUCUGGCGGGCAUGCCUGUUCGAGCGUCAUUUCAACCCUCAAGCUCAGCUUGGUGUUGGGACUCGCGGUAACCCGCGUUCCCCAAAUCGAUUGGCGGUCACGUCGAGCUUCCAUAGCGUAGUAAUCAUACACCUUUGUUACUGGUAAUCGUCGCGGCCACGCCGUAAAACCCCAACUUCUGAAUGUUGACCUCGGAUCAGGUAGGAAUACCCGCUGGACUUAAGCAUAUCAAUAAGGCGGAGGAA
RNAcentral lists this ribosomal RNA (522 nucleotides) under Fusarium chlamydosporum. RNAcentral describes it as "eukaryotic LSU rRNA". The stretch from base 153 to 306 matches the Rfam family "5.8S ribosomal RNA". The record is from RNAcentral. Lineage: Eukaryota; Fungi; Ascomycota; Sordariomycetes; Hypocreales; Nectriaceae.